RNAcentral lists this ribosomal RNA (600 nucleotides) under uncultured bacterium. Its description in RNAcentral is "bacterial SSU rRNA". It matches the Rfam family "Bacterial small subunit ribosomal RNA", at positions 8 to 584 of the family's 1533-position model. The record is from RNAcentral.
AGGGUUUGAUCCUGGCUCAGAACGAACGCUGGCGGCGUGCCUAACACAUGCAAGUCGAACGAGAAAGCUCUUUCGGGAGUGAGUAGAGUGGCGCACGGGUGAGUAACACGUGGAUAAUCUGCCUGAUAAUCUGGGAUAACACUUCGAAAGGGGUGCUAAUACCGGAUAAGCCCACAUCCUCUUCGGAGGAAGCGGGAAAAGAUGGCCUCUUCUUGAAAGCUAUUGUUAUCAGAUGAGUCUGCGGUCCAUUAGCUAGUUGGUAGGGUAACGGCCUACCAAGGCGACGAUGGAUAGCUGGUUUGAGAGAAUGAUCAGCCACACUGGAACUGAGACACGGUCCAGACUCCUACGGGAGGCAGCAGUGGGGAAUUUUGCGCAAUGGGGGCAACCCUGACGCAGCAACGCCGCGUGAGUGAUGAGGGUUUUCGGAUCGUAAAGCUCUGUCAGGAGGGAAGAAACCUCACCUGGUUAAUACCUUGGUGAAUUGACGGUACCUCCAGAGGAAGCACCGGCUAACUCCGUGCCAGCAGCCGCGGUAAUACGGAGGGUGCAAGCGUUGUUCGGAAUUAUUGGGCGUAAAGCGCGUGUAGGCGGUUUGUU